GAUGAACGCUAGCUACAGGCUUAACACAUGCAAGUCGAGGGACCGGCGCACGGGUGAGUAACACGUAUCCAACCUGCCCUUUACUCGGGGAUAGCCUUUCGAAAGAAAGAUUAAUACCCGAUAUAAUGGAUGGGGAUGCGUUCCAUUAGGUUGUUGGUGAGGGCACGGCUCGCCAAGCCUUCGAUGGAUAGGGGUUCUGAGAGGAAGGUCCACCAGAUUUGAACUGAGACACGGUCCACACUCCGACGGGAGGCAGCAGUGAGGAAUAUUUGGCACUGGGCGCUAGCCUGAACCAGCCAAGUGGAGGGAAGGAGGAAGGCUUUUGUGUCGUAAACUUCUUUUAUAUAAGAAUAUGUAUUAUAUGAAUAAGGAUCGGCUAACUCCGUGCCAGCCGCCGCGGUAAUUC
RNAcentral lists this ribosomal RNA (406 nucleotides) under uncultured bacterium. RNAcentral's name for it is "partial 16S ribosomal RNA". It matches the Rfam family "Bacterial small subunit ribosomal RNA", at positions 28 to 526 of the family's 1533-position model. The record is from RNAcentral.